AUGAUCGCUCUACGGACAGGUGCCCCUGAUCUUCAGGGGAUAAUCGGGAAGUAUGGUGCGGCCGCUCAGGCCAAUUCCAUCGCUGCCCCCGCAUCGGUAAUAAAGGCGUAGUCUGCAAAUACCACUGGCGCGAGCCGGGAAGGUGCAGACGAUGACUGCCUCCAGGCUGUCCCCUUUGAGCCCGAAGACCGGCCUGUUAUGUCGUGUUUUC
Molecule: non-coding RNA, 211 nt
Filed under: Marinobacter nanhaiticus
Lineage: Bacteria; Pseudomonadati; Pseudomonadota; Gammaproteobacteria; Pseudomonadales; Marinobacteraceae
Source: RNAcentral